GAAAUUUCAUGACGGGAUUGAAAAAAAUUAUAAGUUAAAAAAAAAAACAAAACACCCUAAGGUAUAGUGAUUGUGGAGUGGAGUAACGGAAAACAAAACCAAAAAAAUAUUACACCUCUAAAAGUGAGGUGGCAAAAUUGUGGUGCGCAAAUUGAAACACAUGAUAUAUUCAAUAUAGGCAGUGAAACAAAAUUCAUACAAAAAGCAACCAGGAAAUCACAACAAAAAUAACAGCAGCAAAAGGACUGGGAGAAAGAAGCACAGGCACACGCACAUUCAGAUAAAUAUGUACACACCACAUAAACUCAUAUUAUCCCCAAAAGCUCCUGGCGGAAAUCAAAAUGAUCCAGUGAUGCUGUAGGCUGGUCACCGCACAAAAACUUCUUUUCGAGGUGCCUGCAGAGAUCGACUAUAAAUCCGUUAUUCCUCGCUAUUUUUCGGUAUAAAAUGGAACCUUGGAAUAUAAUAAAUUUGUUUCCUGCUCAAAUUGAAUGAAACAGUAAUAUACAAGGAAGCCACAUUUACAUACAGUGUAUAUUUCUCUGAAAUGGGGGGAGCUAUGGGGAAAAACGGGGUCAACUUUUUGGAUGCUCUACCUUCACAGGGUACAUUACACAUUGUUAUGCUUGGUCUUGAUUCAGCUGGGAAAACGACGGCUCUGUAUAGAUUGAAAUUCGAUCAAUAUUUAAAUACAGUACCUACAAUUGGAUUCAAUUGCGAAAAGGUUCCUUCUGCGUCGAUGCAGCGCUGCCAGCGUGAAUUCCAAGCAUUGAAGGCGUCACGGAAGGCAUUCUCCUUAGCCUUGAGAGCCGAGGUGCAUGUUGCUUGGAUCCCCUCUGUCGUCUCAAAAUGCUUGCCAUUCAUCGGCAUUUUCAGUUCGGGGCCACAUCUGGGCUGUAGGGCAACUGCGAAAGCAUUUAGAUGUCGGCCUUGUAGUGGUGAAACUUUCAAUCGGUUGCGAUGUCUUCUCGGACUCGAUUGACCCUUCAUUUGAGCCUCUUGAGAACUUCUACGUAAAACUUGGCGUUGACGGUUGGUACAGCAGGAACAAAUUCAUGGUGGACGAAGCCUUUAAUGUCAAAAAAGACAAUGAGUAUCGUUUUCACUUUGGAUUUGCUCACUCAUCAGCGACCUCUUCCAGGUCCUCCAUAGAGGCCUGGUGCCACCGAAACACACCAUUUCUUGCUAAAGAAAAAUCUGGAAUUUAGUCGCGUAACUCUGUUCAACGGAUGCUGCAUUUUCGGCUUGCACCACUCACAGAAACACGUCGCGGGAAAAUGUUUGUCCUGACUCUCCAGGUGCUCGGAGACAACUGUCAACCACUCGUUCGCCGUCUAAGAACGCCCUAUACCGAUUUCAGAAAAACUUUUAUUGUGGGAUAUUCAUAAGAGAUAGACAAAUACCAUCGCGGAAACCUUUUCAAUGUGUUCAACACAUAGUACAUUAUUUUGAUAAAUCUCGUAAUGCUCAGCCUGAGUUUGCAAUGUAAGCGGAAAAACAUUUAAUUAUUUACGACAUUACAUUAGAAACGCCAAAUAUAACAAUAUUUCUCCACUAUUUAAAGGAUGGUUACUAUGCAUAUAAACCUUUCUCUUCAAAUACUAUCUAUUAAAAUAAUCGCACCAAAAUCCGUUGCGUAGUUUGAAAGAUUUAAGCAUACAUAGUGAUAUAGGGAUGAUAUUGAUAUCAUCGGCCUCAACACCCACGCCGUUAGUUCUGCUUUCUCCAGACUGGACAAGGAAGCAAUGCAAAUGGGUCUGGCAGUGAACGAGGGCAAGACGAAAUAUCUCCUGUCAUCAAACAAACAGUCGACACACUCUCGACUUGGCUCUCAGGUCACUGUGGACAGUCAUAACUUUGAAGUCGUAAAUAAUUUCGUCUAUCUUGGCACCACCAAUAAUGUCAGGCUGGAAAUCCAACGCAGGAUAACUCUUGCCAACAGAGGCUACUUCGGACUGAGUAGGCAAUUCAGAAGCAAAGUCUUCUCUUGACGAACAAAAACCAAACUCUAUAAGUCACUCAUAAUUCCCGUCUUGCUAUAUGGUGCAGAGGCUUGGACGAUGACAAAAACUGAUGAGUCGACGUUGCGAGUUUUCGAGAGAAAAGUUCUGCGAAGGAUUUAUGGUCCUUUGCGUAUUGGCCACGGCGAAUAUCGCAUUCGAUGGAACGAUGAGCUGUACGAGAUAUACGACGACAUUGACAUAGUUCAGCGAAUUAAAAGACAGCGGCUACGCUGGCUAGGUCAUGUUGUCCGGAUGGAUGAAAACACUCCAGCUCUGAAAGUAUUCGACGCAGUACCCGCCGGGGGAAGCAGAGGAAGAAGAAGACCUCCACUCCGUUGGAAGGACCAACGCGUUGGCCACGGCGAAUAUCGCAUUCGAUGGAACGAUGAGCUGUACGAGAUAUUCGACGACAUUAACAUAUUUCAGCGAAUUAAAAGACAGCGGCUACGCUGGUUAGGUCAUGAUGUCCGGAUUUACGAAAACACUCCAGCUCUGAAAGUAUUCGACGCAGUACCCGCCGGGGGAAGCAGAGGAAGAGGAAGACCUCCACUCCGUUGGAAGGACCAAGUGGAGAAGGACCUGGCUUCGCCUGGAAUAUCCAAUUGGCGCCACGUAGCGAAAAGAAGAAACGACUGGCGCGCUGUUGUUAACUCGGCUAUAAUCGCGUAAGCGGUGCCAAUAUUAAAUUUUGUUUUAAAAUUGGUAAAACUUUUACCGAAACGUUUCAAUUGAUGAAACAAGUUUAUGGCGAAGAUUGCCUAUCCCGUAGCAGAGUGCGCGGUUUCAACGUUUUCAACGCUUUCAAAGUGGUCUUGAGGACAUAAGUGACGAUCAAUAUGUGGGCCAAUCAAAAUCCGUGAUCACCAGAAAUUCCAUUGAAACUGUGCGUGAAUUCAUCAAAAAUCAGCCGAAAUCAUCAUUGAAAUGCAUGGAAAUGGAAUUAGCGCACAAAUUGACUGACGACCAAAAAUUUCUCAGAAUCCAACAUUCGAAGGACGAUUAUUUGACCAAAUAUCACAUUUUAACCAUUCUCCCCGUAUUCACCUGAUAUGGCACCGUGCGACUUCUUACUUUUCCUCAAAAUGCAUUUGCUUAUGAAAGGAAAGCGUUAUGUAGACGUAGAGGCCAUUCAAAAAGCUUGCACCGGCAUACUGGCGGACAUACCGGCCAACGAGCUAAAACACUCGUUCGACAUGCUUUUAGACUGUGCAAAAAGCUGUAUUGAAGCAGAAGGAGACUAUUUUGAAUAAAAUAAAUUGAUUUUGCCGAAAAAAAACAUUUGUUCUGUUUUU
RNA transcript from Bactrocera neohumeralis, 3295 nucleotides. RefSeq lists it as uncharacterized. Lineage: Eukaryota; Metazoa; Arthropoda; Insecta; Diptera; Tephritidae. The record is from RefSeq and is a predicted model, not a curated record. The transcript has 6 exons.